Molecule: long non-coding RNA, 425 nt
Organism: Bos taurus (domestic cattle)
Lineage: Eukaryota; Metazoa; Chordata; Mammalia; Artiodactyla; Bovidae
Source: Ensembl
GGGUCCACCUGUGGUAAUCCACGGGGCUCUCCCCAUCUCAAGAUCCUAAGCGUAAUACAUCUUCUAAGUCUCUUUUGCCGUAGAGGACUGUAUCCAGUUAUGAACAAUUUAAAUGGGAAUGUGGAGCAUUUGGAGAGAGAUUUUAUAGAAGAAAAGCUGAAAUUAAUUGAGAUUGUUUGGCCUGAAGAAGAGGACGUUUCUUGGCUGCAGCCACCAGCAGAAACCAGGAAGAGGAAAGGAAGAAUCUUACCCAGGGCCUCUGAAGGAACGUGGCCCUGCUGAUACCCUGAUUUCAUACUUACAGCCUUUAGAACUGUGGGAGGGUGAACUCCUGCCAUUUUAAGCCACUCCAUUUGUGCUUUCUUAUGGCAGCCCUAGGAGACUAAUAGAACACUUGAGAAGUAUUUGUUGAAUAAAGAUUGUCU